GGUGCUAUAGUGUAGUGGUUAUCACUCGGGAUUUUGAAAUUAUCAGCUGAUGAUCCUUAGGUUCCCGAAACCCAGGUUCGAACCCUGGUAGCACCU
Molecule: non-coding RNA, 96 nt
Organism: Panus rudis PR-1116 ss-1
Lineage: Eukaryota; Fungi; Basidiomycota; Agaricomycetes; Polyporales; Panaceae
Source: the annotation of a GenBank genome assembly